UAGCCAGGGGUUACACGAAUUAUGAAAAACUCAAAAGCUUCUUAGAAGAAAAACCGAUGGAUGAACAGAGAAAACAACAGAGCAAAAAGAAAGAACAUAUGCGUCAUAAAGCAACGAAGAAAAACAUGACCAACGAAAUCACUGAUGAAAUUACCAAUAUAAUGACAGUGUGUGGCUGAGGUAAUAGACAUCAUAUAUCCAGCAAUAAUACAAUAUCAAGAUAAAAAAAUAGCUGAGAGAGACAUGGGAGUUGAGGAGGCCAAUGGCAAGAAGUUUGUCUUCAGAGGCAGAAAGAAAACACCCAGCAGAUUACCAGGAUGUGUGAAGAGAGGGAGCAGAGGAGAGCCAACCCCACUGUUUUCACAAGAGUCACCUGACCUGUCUCCAACAAGAAGGCCACUGUCUCUAUGCAGAGAGUGUUGGGCAGAAAAUCUGCCAGAGCCUGAACCAGCAGUGGCACUUCCCCAUCACGCUGACAGUAUUUCUAGUUUUUGCAGAACGGGCACGUGCAUGGGAGCUGAAGAUGGCAAAUUACAAAGCUAUUGCAUUAGGGAAGAUAUUUCUCCUGACUUCAAAAAAGAUCGCCCUAAAACAGGCAUAUUUAGAAAAUUAUUUUCACUAACCAAUGUCCAGGGAAGUGUGCCAGGUUAUAAGGAACAAGUGCAAUGGGAAGGACAAAUGCCAAGUCAGCGUCAAGUACCUGACUUUCUACAACCCACAUCAGUGGGCAUCAGGAAGCUGAAUUUUUGCACAGGAGCUCUGGGGCUCAAACCUUCUACAUCCACCUGGACACAGUAACUAAGCCAAGAGCUGUCCAUUCAAGAAAAACUCAACCCCAGAUUGGCAGGCAGCUUAUAGGAAAGUCCUUGUUUUCAUCACACAGAAAGACAUUUCCUGAAGAGUAAGUACCACAUAAGGCAGUACAGGGAGUUUGCAGCAAGCCCCUGCCAAUGUACACAUUUCAGCCUCAGCCCUUGUGGUCACCAACCAGUAUUUAUGAUAAUGCUUUUUUUAAAGAAAUACACGAUGAACUAAUGAGCAAAAUGGUUCUUUCACAAACCCUACAUGCUCAGGACAGUGCAGUCCUCAUAAGUGAUCCUUCAUGUAUCAGCACAGAUACAGCUGAUUCAGUGUUGAAUAAGCUUGCCAUAUGCCAGGCCACAGACCUGCAGUUUUCUGAAGAUCAGGAUCUCUCCCCUAACAUAGACACAUUGACAGCCAAACUUAUUCACUCCAGUUUAUCUGACCUUCUGGAAGAAAGUGCUUCCAAAGUCUCGGUUUAUGCAGACAUGAAAAGCAACAAGAGUGUUUUGAUAAAGACAGAAAUAACUGGUUACCAGCAGGAAGAAGCCUUAGCAAAAGCAUCCUCAGCUCUGUAUAGACCUCUAAAACCUGGGGUAAUGGAUGAGAAGCUUUUCGAAGAUGCUACCAAAAGCAAUGCCCGAUGUCAAAGUCCCACACCAUCUACCAUGGGGAUAUGCCACAGAUUUUUGGAAGAUCUAAUCAGCAGGCUUUUAUCUAACAUUCUCCCUGCCACCGCCAGCACAUCUUCCUCUACAGAAAAGAAAAUGCAACUGGCAGAAUGUGGCUUGAUUCACAUGACGGUCAUCAGUAAAGUUAUAGCAAAAAUCUCUGAAGAUGAGAACUCCUCCUGCCAGCAUAUUGAACAUCCACAUUCCAGGGAGGAUGCUCAGAUUCAAACAAUUGCUGAUUUGGUCUAUACCAAGCUUUUGAUACAGUUUCAGUCUAAAUUCAACGUGCAGAAGUGUUUAAUAAAUGGGUGUGUGAUUCUUUCUGAAGCAGUCUGUGAUUUGGUCUUCCAAGAGAUAACUGGGAAUACAUUGCAGAACUCUCUUUCUGGAGAAUUACCACUUCAUGACCUUGCUGAACCUGACAAUAUUGUUGAAAAUACACUAAGAGAUGUUACUGAGCCUUCAGAUAACCCAACAGUUUAUCACAAGAAGUUAGUAAAAUAGUUCCUCUUAUCAUAGAAAAACUAACAGCAAAUCUUGUAUCAACACUUUCUUCCCUCUUUCCCAUUGCAAGUUUGGAUACAGAAAAGAUGUUGUUACUGACUGAUGCAACUAGAAAAAUACAACAUGCUGUGCAAGUACUCCUGUCAGAACAUGAGAAGAACGUGAACAAACAGACCAGUGAAAGAGAAUUCUUACACAUUGAAGACAGCCAGGCCCUGGGAGACCUCUUCCAUCCAGCUUGCACAAGCACCGUCGAAUGUUCGGAUUCUGACAUUUUUGUUUGCAGAGACCUAACAAAUAGCCAAGAUAUUUUUGCUCAUAGAAUAGCAGCUUCAAUAGCAAAAGAAGUAGCCAAUUCUGACUUUCAAGCCAAUUCAGAGGAGGAGACAUUGCCUACUUCAUCUUCAACAACAGAAAGUAUUAAGAUUAUUGAAUGACUCCCUACUGAUCUUGGCAUGAUAAUGAAGAUCCCAAAACCAACUUUAAAGCCAUGUAUUCCUGUGGUACCCAUGGCUACUGUAAUAAUUGAAGAACUCUCCGAUUGCCCCCUUAGUGACAGUCCACCAACACUGAGCCAAGCUGUGAUGAACCCAGACAGAAUUGCUGACUAAGUGUCUGUUAGUGCAGAGCCCAAAACAGGGAGUUCUGAAGAGGCAAUCCCAGGUUCAACUACAAAUGAGACCCCAACAGAGACAGAGGAGUUGCCUGUGAAAAGAAUCCCUCAUAUUACUGUCAAAUAUGUACCCAUUUCUUCAGACUUGGUGUGUGAUUACUUACAAGUGAUUCCCAUAAAAGCAGAGCCUCUUGAGGAACUGCAAGAAGCAUUCGUUGCUCAAACUGGGGAUGGCCUAAGAAACCUAAGAGCAUCGCUGGGUGAGAAGUGCCUUGAAGAUGAAAGCUUGAGAUCCGAGGCACAGAGAAAAGACGACAGUCUGGGUAACAUAGGACAACGAGUUGUAAGACCAGGGGAGGGAUUUAUGCUGACAGGUGCCAGACCUUGGAUAUAGAAGACUCUUCCUACAUGUCUGAGUUGGAAACACUGUCGGAAGAUGCCGAAAGGAAAGAUUCUCCGACACCGGAAGAAAUGAGGUGUGAUACAGCAGUUGCUGCCAGCAGCCCAAGAAAACGGUCUACCUUUUUCAGGAAGAUACCGAAUGCUGUCUAGAAUGCAGUCUCUUGUCUCAAGUUGCCUUCCAUGCCGCAGAAAAUUUUGAAAAGUUGCACCAGAGAUUAUACCUACAUGUUAAAUUAUUUUAGGAAAAAUAGGAAAAGUAUAGUGUUAGGAAAAAAUGUGAUCUGUUGGAGGCUGCUAAUAGUACUUUGUGAUUGUUUGCAACUUCAUUCUCAUGUAGUUAAACCCAACAAAGAGGGCAGACAGAAAAGGCAGACAGGCCUACUCCACAGGGAGGAGGGAGGCUCCUUUUUGGAUGCAUUGUUCAGGAGUUACGGUGCACUCCCAAGCAGUUGGCUGUGCCACAGGAUGGGUGUUGGAGAGAGAGGUCAGGAGCCAGCCCAACCAGCAGGUAGUGCCACAAAAUGCCUGAGAACUCCUUGCGAUAACUUGGAGGAGCCACCUAGCAAGGGUGGGGAGUUAAAGCCAGCAGAUAUUGCCAUUUGGAGAUGGCAGCAAUCUCCACCUGGAAUCACAGGGUAAUCAGAAGGCCGCUGGAAUCAACGGUGUUGAUACAUCAUUGUCAGCGCCAGUAGAGGGAACAAUUUUCUGAGUCUCUAGCUACAGUGACUGGGGUUUAACUUAAGCUCUCUGAGCAGAAGAGCAGCAUGGCACAGCUGCCUGAGGGGAGCAAACCCCCAGGACUGAGGACCGGUCUGCCUUGGCCUGGCAGCAGGGAGAGGUGAAGGGAAUGUUGGUGUCUCUGCCAUGCUGGAGCUCUGGGCCACCAGGGGAGCCUUCAGACUCACUUCUAUGAGCGCCUGAGUCAUCUCUGACCCAUCUCUAAUUUGUGCUGCUUUUCCCUCAAGGGCUGGAAUUACUCUGGAGCUGGGGGAGGUGUUAUUGCCAAGUUCACUGCUGCUCACCUCCAAAAUUCAAAGCUUGGGGGGGAAGAGCCUGCAAGUUAGGACUGGCCCCCAAAUAAUGAAGAUUUCUUUAAUAUGGACUACCUAUACAUGACUUCAUUGGCUUUCUAAUUAGAAUGCGUUGGAGCAGACGUAGUUAGUUGAGUCUGCUCCACGUCCUCAUUAGAAUGCUGCAGCAUCACCAUCGUGUCACAUGUAUUAAGCCCCUGCAUGUUUUAAAAUGGCCGCAGGGUGCUUUAACUUAUCCUGAUUGAAUGAAGUUUAGAUAAAGCAUCCUGCAGCCAUUUUUAAAUAUGCGGGGGCUUAAUACACGUGAUGGUGAAGCAUUUUAAUUAGAGUGGCUGCCCAGGUACCGCAGUAAUUGUACUCCCUUCCCCCGAGCAUGUGUAUAGGCAGCCAUGAUUUCGUUAAGCUCUUGCUUUUUAAACACCUCCCUCCAUAAGUGGGGACAGUUUCCAGGCUGCUGGCUGUCAUAUGGGCAGAAGAGGAAACUCUGAUGCCCGGUCCCACCAGGAGCUUGCACUGCCUGCCUGAGGACACAGCUUCUCUACAAUGAAGUUCUAGUGUAAGCCACAGGCUGUGGGCUGCUGAGGCCUGUUCCAGUGAGUCCAGUUUCUGCUCUCUGCUGUUCUUCAUGCACCUCUAGUUUCAGGAGUGUUUCCCAUCCUUCCCCAGGCCAGGAAGGGGCUCCACUGAAACCACCAAUACUCAUUCUCAGGCCUCUUAGCAGGAAUGGGCCUGCCUGACCUAGGGCUCACAGGAUGGGAUCACAUGGGGGAGUGGUAGUGUCUGCACUGGCAUUCUCUGUCAUCCUUCCAUCUUGAGGCAUGUUGGGUUACCAGAGCGAGGAGGGAGAGCUGCUGCCUCCCUAGGAUUACUGUACAUCUGGGUUUUCCAAGAUGUAUCCUCUUUUUUGGCCCCCUUUCCAGUCUGGGUGGAUUUUUAAAAUGCGAGCAAAUGCCCAGGUAUUUGCUUUGCCUCUGCUUUUUCUACGCAGAAGCAACUUGGAAGCUUGGGGCUGGGAGUAGCAGGCAAAGUGAUCACGUGCUCUGCACACAGGCCUGGGCAGAGUG
Alligator mississippiensis (American alligator) is the source of this 5086-nucleotide RNA transcript. It is a transcript of the gene named fibrous sheath-interacting protein 2-like, with no coding region annotated. The transcript is spliced from 5 exons. The record is from RefSeq and is a predicted model, not a curated record. NCBI's taxonomy places the organism in Eukaryota, Metazoa, Chordata, Crocodylia, Alligatoridae.